This 372-nucleotide unclassified non-coding RNA is filed under the name Hevea brasiliensis (rubber tree). Lineage: Eukaryota; Viridiplantae; Streptophyta; Magnoliopsida; Malpighiales; Euphorbiaceae. The record is from RNAcentral.
GGGAGGUUUCGCUGACAGCUGGAAUGCCCUAACACGAUACUACUUGAGCAAUUUUGUCGGUAGUACUAAAUAGGUACUUAUGCUUCUUACCAGCAUUUAGUUGUUACCUAGUUUUGUACAUUAUAUGAAGUUGGUAGCGUUCUUUAUGCUCUGUCACUUGCAACUUUCAUACUACUCUGCCAGUAGAAAUUUUGGAAAGCAUUCUUUAAGUAGUACUAAGCUUCAUGUAUGCGAGCCAUCAACGAAGUAUUAACUAAACCUAGUAUUAUCAUUUGUAGUGUGCUGCCAUUUUUUUGGAUUAGUUUCUUGUUGACUACUAGGAGAUACUCCCUCUGUUUCAAUUUGUUUGUUUGAUUUUGACUUAACACGGAG